UUUUAAAAACCACAAGGUUCAUUACGCACAAGCACCCGUAGCUUUUGAAAACCAAAGUACUAAAAAAGACUAAAAAAAGCUGAGGUUAUUGUACAUUGGGCUGUCAUUGACUCAUUUUUUACCCCUUUCGAAAUUGCAAACCAUCUGGACCAAAACUUUCCUUCAACAAUUAAUAUUCAAAUAUUGUUCUCCUAAUUUCCUUCCCUGAAAAGUGCACCAACUUGUGAAGGAGCCCAUUAAAACCUGAAAACAUGUAUAACCUCCCAUUAAAGCAGAUCUCCUUUUGAUAUGCUCUUGACUGCCCACCUUGUUGCUUCUCUCGUCCAUCACCUUGCCAAUUACCAAAUCAC
RNAcentral lists this long non-coding RNA (350 nucleotides) under Setaria viridis. Its description in RNAcentral is "long non-coding RNA (SVIR_LNC005157)". The record is from RNAcentral. Lineage: Eukaryota; Viridiplantae; Streptophyta; Magnoliopsida; Poales; Poaceae.